Molecule: non-coding RNA, 1168 nt
Organism: Cyanistes caeruleus (blue tit)
Lineage: Eukaryota; Metazoa; Chordata; Aves; Passeriformes; Paridae
Source: RefSeq, a predicted model, not a curated record
GCCUCUGCUGCAUUGGGCUGUUUGGAUACAUCGGCUGCAGCAGUGGUCACGCAUCCCUCCGCAGCCUGCUGAUUUUGCAAAAGUGGGAGGCAAAAGAUCAUUUUGCAGUCCAGAUGCUGUCAAACACAAGCAAUCAAUGGAAGGAAUGGCACAAUGAGCAGACGAGCAUGUGGAAGCAGCUUACGAAGAAAUAGUUAAAUGCCGAGUUUUGUCCCGGCCGAUGCUGUAAUAAUUACUGAGCUGAUGUUAAGAAGUAUCUUCUAGCAGGUGGGACGAAGAAGACUUUGGGCCUCACUAAUACUCUUCCAGCUGUGCCUGCUUCCAGAAAAAAAGGAAGACAAAGGAGAAACAGCAGCUUCCAGAACCCGCUCCUUUUCUAGAAGAUAAACAUAAAUCAAUCGCACAGGAAUAUAGCCUGAAUUCAGGCUAUAUUAAAGAAACUGAACAAGACCUCCUUGCUUUCUGAGAUCUGUCCUGUUACACCUGUUCUUGGUUACAAGAGAAUGAAAUUCUGUGAACAAUUAAGCAAGUGCUUUAAAAGAAAACUGGAGAAGUAGCAGAUGGUGAUGCACAGAGACACCUUGGGUAGAAGAAGGAUGGAGUGAAGAUUGAGUUGACUUUCAUAUUCUUGGGCUUUCUGGUGUCCACUGAAAAGAUGAUAAGCAAGAAGGAUUAAAAAAUAACUUUCUAAUUUAUAAAUCCAAAAUCUGCUUCAUGUUCCUAUCAAGAAGAUAUCAAAGAAAAAGAGACAAUGGAGAUCAAGGAUAAGAACAGGUAAAAAAACACCAACUAAACAAAAAAAUCUCCUGAAAAAAUUUACUGUUAGGUUGCAUGUUCUUGAUCAAAUAUCCAUGGGCAGUAAUUUAAAGAAGUCUGAAACUUGCCUAGUGUUUGUACAAAAUUUCUAUUUUUAAAGGUGAAAUUAAUUUCUUAAAUUACAAAAUAUUAUAUAGGUACCAGGUUCUGCUGCCUUUACUUAUGAAUUGUUUCCAUGAAAUUAAUGAGAACUUCUUGAAAAAACUCCUGUGAUUAAAGAGUUCAUAGUAUAACUUUCAAUUUACAGUCUCCAUCCACUAUAGCACUUCUUGUAAACAAGUGAAAGAGAAAGUUCCCUUCCUGUGCUUGCCAAAUGCACAAUUCAAUAAAUUGUUUCACUGGGAUGAAUGUA